GCCCAGGUAGUUUAAUUAAAAUGUUGACUUGUGGAGUCAGAGUUAUAUAUUUAUAUGCUGGGCA
Molecule: transfer RNA, 64 nt
Filed under: Epicauta aptera
Lineage: Eukaryota; Metazoa; Arthropoda; Insecta; Coleoptera; Meloidae
Also listed under: 1 other name
Description: tRNA-His
Source: RNAcentral